Molecule: ribosomal RNA, 231 nt
Filed under: uncultured beta proteobacterium
Lineage: Bacteria; Pseudomonadati; Pseudomonadota; Betaproteobacteria
Description: partial 16S ribosomal RNA
Rfam family: Bacterial small subunit ribosomal RNA
Source: RNAcentral
UUUGACAUGUACGGAAUUUGCCAGAGAUGGCUUAGUGCUCGAAAGAGAACCGUAACACAGGUGCUGCAUGGCUGUCGUCAGCUCGUGUCGUGAGAUGUUGGGUUAAGUCCCGCAACGAGCGCAACCCUUGUCAUUAGUUGCUACAUUUAGUUGGGCACUCUAAUGAGACUGCUGGUGACAAGCCGGAGGAAGGUGGGGAUGACGUCAAGUCCUCAUGGCCCUUAUAGGUGG